RNAcentral lists this long non-coding RNA (308 nucleotides) under Chinchilla lanigera (long-tailed chinchilla). RNAcentral describes it as "lncRNA (ENSCLAG00000027677.1)". The record is from RNAcentral. Lineage: Eukaryota; Metazoa; Chordata; Mammalia; Rodentia; Chinchillidae.
UUUGCCUGAAGCAUAUCAGCCCCAAAUGGGAUGGUCUGUGAGUGGUCAAUCAACUGAAUGCUAUCAAACGUCGGAGCUCCUCUUAGUUGCCGCCCGGAAACACUGAGCCCAGAGUCUCUAAGAGAGUUCAUUGUGACGGAAUGGAAAUCUUAGACAAGCUGACAUCAUCCAACCAACGGACAAAGACAUGAGAGAAUUCUAAGACAAGCUGAAGCAACUGUGUGAAGAACCAGACAGAAACUCCUUGUAGUCCUUUGUGAGUAAAUUCCAAAUGAAAAGUAGAUGCUUAUAUUAAAGAAUACAUGAGA